GGACUACCCGGGUUUCUAAUCCUGUUUGCUCCCCACGCUUUCGUGCCUCAGCGUCAAUCAAGGCCCAGCAAGCUGCCUUCGCAAUCGGUGUUCUAUGGCAUAUCUAAGCAUUUCACCGCUACAUGCCACAUUCCGCCUACCUCAACCUGAUUCAAGUCAAACAGUAUCAAUCGCAGUUCCGCCGGUUAAGCCGGGGUAUUUCACAACUGACUUAUCUGACCGCCUACGCACCCUUUAAACCCAGUGAUUCCGGAUAACGCUUGCACCCUCCGUAUUACCGCGGCUGCUGGCAC
RNAcentral lists this ribosomal RNA (293 nucleotides) under uncultured Bacteroidota bacterium. Its description in RNAcentral is "uncultured Bacteroidetes bacterium partial 16S ribosomal RNA". The record is from RNAcentral. Lineage: Bacteria; Pseudomonadati; Bacteroidota.